Molecule: ribosomal RNA, 350 nt
Filed under: Nosema granulosis
Lineage: Eukaryota; Fungi; Microsporidia; Nosematidae
Description: SSU rRNA
Rfam family: Microsporidia small subunit ribosomal RNA
Source: RNAcentral
UUGAAUAUAAAGAAAAGACGAACAGCUCAGUAACUCUUAUUUUAUUUGAUGUAUUAGGAUAAUAACUAUGUUAAAUUAUAGAUAAUAAUAAUACAAUAAGAAUAAGAUCUAUCAGUUAGUUGUUAAGGUAAUGGCUUAACAAGACUAUGACGGAUAACGGUAUUACUUUGUAAUAUUCCGGAGAAGGAGCCUGAGAGAUUGCUACUAAGUCUAAGGAUUGCAGCAGGGGCGAAACUUGACCUAUGAUAUUAUAUUGAGGCAGUUAUGAGUAGUAUUUUUAAUUAUUGUAAUAUUGUAAGUAUAUAUUACAAGAUAAAUCGGAGGGCAAAUCGAGUGCCAGCAGCCGCGGU